AGGCAGCAGUGGGGAUUAAUGCACCAUGGGCGCCAGCCUGAUGCAAGCAUGACGGUUGUAUUAGUACGGCGUUCUGGUUGUAAAGUUCUUUCAGCGAGGAGGAAGGUGUUGAGGUUAAUAACCUCAGCAAGUGACGUUAGGCGCAGAAGCAGCUCUGGCAAAAUCCGUGCCAGCAGCCGUAGUAAUAGGUAGGGCGCGAGCGUCGAUUGAAAUUACUUGGCGUACAGCGCAUGCGGGCGGUCGUUCAAGUAUGAUGUGAAAUACCCUGGCUCUGCCUGGGAACUGCAGUCGAAAUUGCCAGUCAAGUGUGUAGUAGAGGCGGGUAGAGCUCCACGUGCAGCUGUGAAAUGUGUAGAGAUCUGGAGGAAUACCGGUGGCGUAGGCGGCGCCCCGCACAAAGUCUGACGUUAAGGUCAGUAAGCGUGCAGAGCAAACAGGAUGAGAUACCGUUGUAGUCCACGCUGUAAGCGAUGUAGACUUAGAGGUUGAGCCCUAGAGGCGUGGACAAGAGAGCUAACGCGCUAAGUCGACUGCAUUGGGAGUACGGCCGCAAGGGUAAUACUCUAAUGAAUUGCAGAGGGCCCGCACGAGCGGUGGAGCCUGUGGUUUAAUUCGAUGCAACGAGAAGAACCUUACCUACUGUUGACAUCCAGAGAACUUUCCGGAGAUGUUUUGGUGGGUUCGGGAACUUUGAGACAGAUUAACCAUGGCACUUUUCAGCUCGUGUUAAGAAAUGUUGGGUUAAGUCCCGCUAUUAGCGCAACCGUAUCCUUGGUUGCCAGCGGUGCGCCCGGGGAAUCAAAGGAGACUGCCAGUGAUAAACUGGAUGAAGGUGGGGAUGAAGUCAAGUCAUCAUGGGCCUUACGAGUAGGGCUACACACGAUCGACAAUGGCGCAUACAAAGAGAAGCGACCUCGCGAGAGCAAGCGGACCUCAUAAAGUGGGUAGUAGUCCGGAUUUGAGUCCGCAACUUGACUCCAUGAAGUCCGAAUCGAUAGUCCUCUUUCUUCAGAAUGCUCCGGUGAUUACGUUCCCGGGCCGUGUACACACCGGCCGUCGCACCAUGGGAGUGGG
This 1074-nucleotide ribosomal RNA is filed under the name Enterobacter asburiae. RNAcentral's name for it is "bacterial SSU rRNA". It matches the Rfam family "Bacterial small subunit ribosomal RNA", at positions 346 to 1414 of the family's 1533-position model. The record is from RNAcentral. Lineage: Bacteria; Pseudomonadati; Pseudomonadota; Gammaproteobacteria; Enterobacterales; Enterobacteriaceae.